This 23-nucleotide microRNA is filed under the name Schmidtea mediterranea. RNAcentral's name for it is "sme-miR-315-5p". Its record names the gene sme-miR-315-5p. The record is from miRBase by way of RNAcentral. Lineage: Eukaryota; Metazoa; Platyhelminthes; Tricladida; Dugesiidae.
UUUUGAUUGUUGCUCUGAGAGUU